Molecule: small nuclear RNA, 199 nt
Organism: Cavia porcellus (domestic guinea pig)
Lineage: Eukaryota; Metazoa; Chordata; Mammalia; Rodentia; Caviidae
Gene: U2
Rfam family: U2 spliceosomal RNA
About the family: U2 is a small nuclear RNA (snRNA) component of the spliceosome (involved in pre-mRNA splicing). Complementary binding between U2 snRNA (in an area lying towards the 5' end but 3' to hairpin I) and the branchpoint sequence (BPS) of the intron results the bulging out of an unpaired adenosine, on the BPS, which initiates a nucleophilic attack at the intronic 5' splice site, thus starting the first of two transesterification reactions that mediate splicing.
Source: Ensembl
AUCAGUUCUCGGCCUCUUGACUAAGAUCAAGUAUAGUAUCUGUUUUUAUCAGUUUAACAUAUGACAUGUCCUCUAUUCAAGAACAAUAUAUUAAAUGGAUUUUUGGAGCUGGGAGAUGGAAUAGGACCUUGCUCCAUCCACUGCACACAUAGACCUGGAAAGGGGGCGAGGCAAAGAUACCAGAGUCCAAGGUCAUCAC